Molecule: long non-coding RNA, 428 nt
Organism: Scylla paramamosain (green mud crab)
Lineage: Eukaryota; Metazoa; Arthropoda; Malacostraca; Decapoda; Portunidae
Exons: 3
Source: RefSeq, a predicted model, not a curated record
ACACACUUUAAACACUCCGCCACGUCCUCACUACCCUGAACGCGAGACCUUCGUUAGAGUGGAAUUACAGCACGUUUCCAGCCCUCCGUGCCUUGUGGUGUCCAGUGUCCACAGCAGACCAGUGUCCACAGCAGACCUGCGUCACUGACUUACCGUAGUCAGCCGGCGACUGAUUGUGGCGGCCAUUAGCUGGUGCUGACUGCUGAGAGGUUGGAUCCUGCAGGCUUCAUUUCACUGGCAGGCUCUUAAGUGUGAUUGGACACCUCUUACCCAGACUCGAUCAAUAAAAUUCCAUAUGGAUGCCAGACAACUUGGGCUCCACCACACCCUGAGGGUGCGGACUCACCUUUGGCUUGGCUCGGCCCCGGUUGGCAGAUCGUCCCCUGCGUGUUGUAUUCUUGGGACCACGUGGAACACCCUUGGGCCAA